This 92-nucleotide ribosomal RNA is filed under the name uncultured bacterium. Its description in RNAcentral is "partial 16S ribosomal RNA". The record is from RNAcentral.
AUUAGAUACCCUGGUAGUCCACGCAGUAAACGAGUGAAUGCUAGCUGUCCGGUACGAUUGAAGGACUGGGGCGUAAGUCGUAACAAGGUAAC